UACAGAGACUGCAAGCGUUAUUCGGAUUCACUGGGCGUAAAGGGUGCGCGGGCGGCCAAGUGUGUUAGGCGUGAAAGCCCGGGGCUUAACCCCGGAAUUGCACCUAAAACUACUUGGCUAGAGCAUUGGAGAGGGUAGCGGAAUUCACGGUGUAGCAGUGAAAUGCGUAGAUAUCGUGAGGAACACCAGAGGCGAAGGCGGCUACCUGGACUGGUCCUGACACUCAUGAGCGAAAGCGUGGGGAGCGAUCCGG
RNAcentral lists this ribosomal RNA (253 nucleotides) under uncultured bacterium. Its description in RNAcentral is "partial 16S ribosomal RNA". It matches the Rfam family "Bacterial small subunit ribosomal RNA", at positions 524 to 776 of the family's 1533-position model. The record is from RNAcentral.